RNAcentral lists this long non-coding RNA (469 nucleotides) under Chrysemys picta bellii (western painted turtle). RNAcentral describes it as "lncRNA (ENSCPBG00000010456.1)". The record is from RNAcentral. Lineage: Eukaryota; Metazoa; Chordata; Testudines; Emydidae.
UUUGCAAAGGCUCCUGGUGGCUCCAGCUCUCCGUGCUCCGCUGCCCAAGAACUGUGUGUGCGGGGAGGCUGCAGCCACAGGCUGGGACGGACAGGACCUGGAAGCAGACCCAGCAAGCAGAAUACACCACUGCUCUUCAAAGUUUGGCAUUGGAGAGAUCACGCUGCAUCCAUUCGACUCUGGGUGGGGAGGACCAGGCUCAGAGGUUAACCAGCACUGAACAGCAUCACCUCAAUCCAGAGCCCUCUGCAUAUGCCAGGGCAGGAACACUGUGCUAGCUGUCAAGGCUGAUGGACUCCUCCAGUAGCAACAGGUGAGUUUGGAGCAAACCUCUAGCUCUCUUUUAGCAACACCCCUCUCUGUGCUGCCAGGUGCUGCUGGGGGUGUUGCAGCCAUGGCAGUAUCUUCCCACUGCUCUCUUAUGGCAGUCAAUAUAAGCGCUGUUUCAGUGCUGCUGCUGAGUGAGCAG